GAUGAACGCUGACAGAAUGCUUAACACAUGCAAGUCUUUGGCGAAGCUGUGCUCGCACAGCCUAGCCAAGGCGGACUGGUGAGUAACGCGUAAGGAACUUGCCCUGCAGUCAGGGAUAACAGACGGAAACGACUGAUAAGACCUGGUAAAGUCAGGCGGACUCAUGUCCAGCCUGAUGAAAAGAGAUGCUGCAGGAGAGCCUUGCGUCCUAUUAGCUUGUUGGUGGGGUAACGGCCCACCAAGGCGAUGAUAGGUAGCCGGCCUGAGAGGGUGGACGGCCACAAGGGGACUGAGAUACGGCCCUUACUCCUACGGGAGGCAGCAGUGGGGAAUAUUGGACAAUGGGGGCAACCCUGAUCCAGCAAUUCUGUGUGCACGAUGAAGGUUUUCGGAUUGUAAAGUGCUUUCAGCAGGGAAGAAAAAAAUGACGGUACCUGCAGAAGAAGCGACGGCUAAAUACGUG
Molecule: ribosomal RNA, 463 nt
Filed under: uncultured bacterium
Lineage: Bacteria
Description: partial 16S ribosomal RNA
Rfam family: Bacterial small subunit ribosomal RNA
Source: RNAcentral